RNAcentral lists this ribosomal RNA (254 nucleotides) under uncultured bacterium. Its description in RNAcentral is "partial 16S ribosomal RNA". It matches the Rfam family "Bacterial small subunit ribosomal RNA", at positions 524 to 776 of the family's 1533-position model. The record is from RNAcentral.
UACAGGGGGUGCGAGCGUUAUUCGGAUUAAUUGGGCGUAAAGAGCGUGUAGGUUGUUUGUUAAGUCAGUUGUGAAAUCUCUUAGCUUAACUAAGAAAGUGCAACUGAUACUGGCAAGCUAGAGUGUCGAAGAGGAUAGCGGAAUUUCCGGUGUAGAGGUGAAAUUCGUAGAUAUCGGAAGGAACAUCAGUGGCGAAGGCGGCUAUCUGGUAGAUUUACUGACGCUGAGACGCGAAAGCAUGGGGAGCAAACAGG